This 97-nucleotide microRNA precursor is filed under the name Nicotiana sylvestris (wood tobacco). RNAcentral's name for it is "MIR6152 microRNA precursor family". It matches the Rfam family "MIR6152 microRNA precursor family". Lineage: Eukaryota; Viridiplantae; Streptophyta; Magnoliopsida; Solanales; Solanaceae. The record is from Rfam by way of RNAcentral.
UGGACAGAUUAUUGUAUUCAACUGUAUUCACAACGUAAAAUAGGGGAUUACACUAUUUUUAAAAUGGAAAGUGAAUCAAUUAACAUAAUAGACUCCU